RNAcentral lists this ribosomal RNA (553 nucleotides) under Octospora hygrohypnophila. RNAcentral describes it as "partial large subunit ribosomal RNA". It matches the Rfam family "Eukaryotic large subunit ribosomal RNA", at positions 100 to 658 of the family's 3401-position model. The record is from RNAcentral. Lineage: Eukaryota; Fungi; Ascomycota; Pezizomycetes; Pezizales; Pyronemataceae.
GGCAAAAGCUCAAAUUUGAAUCUGACGUCUGAUCGGGCGUUCCGAGUUGUAAUUUGGAGGAGCGGCUUCGGGAGCGGCACCGUCUCAAGUUCCGUGGAACCGGACGUCACAGAGGGUGAGAAUCCCGUGUCUGGACGGGCUAGCCUGUUCCCAUGCGAAGUGCUUCCGACGAGUCGAGUUGUUUGGGAAUGCAGCUCAAAAUGGGUGGUAAAUUUCAUCUAAAGCUAAAUAUUGGCGAGAGACCGAUAGCGCACAAGUAGAGUGAUCGAAAGAUGAAAAGCACUUUGAAAAGAGAGUUAAAAAGUACGUGAAAUUGUUGAAAGGGAAGCGCUUGAGAUCAAAACUCGGUCUUUGGUGAAGCGUGCGAUUUAGCUCGUAGCCUCUCCCUUUGACCGGGCCAGCAUCGGUUUUGAUGGCGGGAGAAACGGUAGAGGAAUGUGGCUCUCUUUGGAGAGUGUUAUAGCCAAUACCACAUACCGCCAGUCGAGACCGAGGACCCCCCCGCGCUACGGCUAGGAUGCUGGCGUAAUGGUCUUCAGCGACCCGUCUUGAA